This 429-nucleotide ribosomal RNA is filed under the name Actinomycetes bacterium. Its description in RNAcentral is "Actinobacteria bacterium partial 16S ribosomal RNA". It matches the Rfam family "Bacterial small subunit ribosomal RNA", at positions 355 to 776 of the family's 1533-position model. The record is from RNAcentral. Lineage: Bacteria; Bacillati; Actinomycetota; Actinomycetes.
UAGGGAAUCUUCCGCAAUGGGCGAAAGCCUGACGGAGCAACGCCGCGUGAGUGAUGAAGGUCUUCGGAUCGUAAAACUCUGUUAUUAGGGAAGAACAAAUGUGUAAGUAACUAUGCACGUCUUGACGGUACCUAAUCAGAAAGCCACGGCUAACUACGUGCCAGCAGCCGCGGUAAUACGUAGGUGGCAAGCGUUAUCCGGAAUUAUUGGGCGUAAAGCGCGCGUAGGCGGUUUUUUAAGACUGAUGUGAAAGCCCACGGCUCAAACGUAGAGGGUAAUUGGAGACUGGAAAACUUGAGUGCAGAAGAGGAAAGUGGAAUUCCAUGUGUAGCGGUGAAAUGCGCAGAGAUAUGGAGGAACACCAGUGGCGAAGGCGACUUUCUGGUCUGUAACUGACGCUGAUGUGCGAAAGCGUGGGGAUCAAACAGG